AGCAGCCGCGGUAAUUCCAGCUCCAAUAGCGUAUAUUAAAGUUGCUGCAGUUAAAAAGCUCGUAGUUGAAUUUCGGGAUCAAUAUGUUGGUCGUGCCUCGGUACGUACUGGCUUAUUGGUUUCUCCCUUCUGACGAACCAUGAUGUCAUUUAUUUGGUGUUAUGGGGAAUCAGAACUGUUACUUUGAAAAAAUUAGAGUGUUUAAAGCAGGCUCACGCUUGAAUACAUUAGCAUGGAAUAAUGAAAUAGGACGUUUGAUUCUAUUUUGUUGGUUUCUAGGAUCGACGUAAUGAUUAAUAGGGAUAGUUGGGGGCAUUAGUAUUCAAUUGUCAGAGGUGAAAUUCUUGGAUUUAUUGAAGACUAACUACUGCGAAAGCAUUUGCCAAGGAUGUUUUCAUUAAUCAAGAACGAAAGUUAGGGGAUCGAAGACGAUCAGAUACCGUCGUAGUCUUAACCAUAAACUAUGCCGACUAGGGAUCGGAUGAUGUUGAUUUUUUAAUGACUCAUUCGGCGCCUUACG
Molecule: ribosomal RNA, 520 nt
Filed under: uncultured Glomeraceae
Lineage: Eukaryota; Fungi; Glomeromycota; Glomeromycetes; Glomerales; Glomeraceae
Description: SSU rRNA
Rfam family: Eukaryotic small subunit ribosomal RNA
Source: RNAcentral